AGUGAACGCUGGCGGUAUGCCUAACACAUGCAAGUCGAACGGCAGCACAGUAAGAGCUUGCUCUUACGGGUGGCGAGUGGCGGACGGGUGAGGAAUACAUCGGAAUCUACUUUUUCGUGGGGGAUAACGUAGGGAAACUUACGCUAAUACCGCAUACGACCUACGGGUGAAAGCAGGGGAUCUUCGGACCUUGCGCGAUUGAAUGAGCCGAUGUCGGAUUAGCUAGUUGGCGGGGUAAAGGCCCACCAAGGCGACGAUCCGUAGCUGGUCUGAGAGGAUGAUCAGCCACACUGGAACUGAGACACGGUCCAGACGCCUACGGGAGGCAGCAGUGGGGAAUAUUGGACAAUGGGCGCAAGCCUGAUCCAGCCAUACCGCGUGGGUGAAGAAGGCCUUCGGGUUGUAAAGCCCUUUUGUUGGGAAAGAAAAGCAGCAGGUUAAUACCCCGCUGUUCUGACGGUACCCAAAGAAUAAGCACCGGCUAACUUCGUG
RNAcentral lists this ribosomal RNA (492 nucleotides) under uncultured bacterium. Its description in RNAcentral is "partial 16S ribosomal RNA". It matches the Rfam family "Bacterial small subunit ribosomal RNA", at positions 29 to 507 of the family's 1533-position model. The record is from RNAcentral.